AUAAGUCUUCAGGGCAGGGUGCAAGUCCCUACCGGUGGUAAAGCCCACGAGCCGCAAGGCAGAUUCGGUUAGAUUCCGAAGCCGACAGUAUAGUCUGGAUAAAGCGAAGACAAAC
Molecule: non-coding RNA, 115 nt
Filed under: Carnobacterium sp.
Lineage: Bacteria; Bacillati; Bacillota; Bacilli; Lactobacillales; Carnobacteriaceae
Description: FMN sequence
Rfam family: FMN riboswitch aptamer (RFN element)
About the family: The RFN element is a highly conserved domain that is found frequently in the 5'-untranslated regions of prokaryotic mRNAs that encode for flavin mononucleotide (FMN) biosynthesis and transport proteins. This element is a metabolite-dependent riboswitch that directly binds FMN in the absence of proteins. In Bacillus subtilis, the riboswitch most likely controls gene expression by causing premature transcription termination within the 5' untranslated region of the ribDEAHT operon and precluding access to the ribosome-binding site of ypaA mRNA.
Source: RNAcentral